Molecule: long non-coding RNA, 436 nt
Filed under: Gallus gallus (chicken)
Lineage: Eukaryota; Metazoa; Chordata; Aves; Galliformes; Phasianidae
Description: long non-coding RNA NONGGAT007836
Source: RNAcentral
GCUGAGGCGCGCUGCUCUGGUGAACGUGGGCCUGCGUGCCCCUCACACACACAUAUCUGGGGCUGCGGCACCGACAGACGGACUUUGGCCGGGAUCACGUGGGGCUGCGAGGCGCACGCACGGGAGCGUGCAGUGAUCGCUGCGUGUCGCCCAGCCGUGGGGCUGUGGCAUUGGGGUACGACGCACUCAUCUGAGAGAGAGUGAGAUUACGGCCUGCACUGAGACCUUGCUGCUGUGUGCUUCCCCCAGCCUGUCUGUCAACUGCAGAGAAACGAUCCUGAGACAACUGGAUAAACCAGACAUUGACACUAACAGAGCAUGUGACUGGAGUUAAGGUCAGAGAUUAGGAGAGCGUGGGAUUGGGGCCUCAAAGAUUUAUGCACAGGGUUACAAGCGACAUAACUACAAAGUUAAAGGUACAUGUUAUUUCACAUGG